UCACACCCCACUGGGUUCCCAGCUCUUACCUUCCAGGUGCUGCCUGACGAGGACCUCCAACCGCUCCAGCCUGUCCUGCAGCCUCCGGCUCUCGCUGCCCUCCUGCCCCAGCGGCUGCUCGGCCAUGGGAGGCUGCACCUUGAGAUGCUGCCUGACCCGAUGAGUGUUUCUGGACAGGAGACACAAGAGACUGCAGAUGCUGGAGCAACAAACAAACCGCUGGAGGAACUCAGCAGAUCGAGGGAGCUCAGAGUCCCUGCAGAACUCCAGUGCAGUAUCUGGGCUGAUAUCUCCACUGCGUGCUCCAGAGUUCGGUACAUACAUCCAUAUUCUCUUUGAAUUCCCUGGGGAGACGUAUGCUUCAAAUGUCACAUUCUCUACAUCAACAGAGGGUGGCAAAUCACCUUCCUCCCUUACACAGUGUGAUGCAAAUCACCAACAGGGAGGUGACCUCUUGAUGCAA
Long non-coding RNA from Pristis pectinata (smalltooth sawfish), 463 nucleotides. RefSeq lists it as uncharacterized. The record is from RefSeq and is a predicted model, not a curated record. The transcript has 3 exons. NCBI's taxonomy places the organism in Eukaryota, Metazoa, Chordata, Chondrichthyes, Rhinopristiformes, Pristidae.